AGGACGAACGCUGGCGGCGUGCUUAACACAUGCAAGUCGAGCGGAAAGGCCUUUCGGGGUACUCGAGCGGCGAACGGGUGAGUAACACGUGAGUAAUCUGCCCAUCGCUUCAGGAUAGCCAUCGGAAACGGUGAUUAAUACUGGAUAUGACAUUCCUUCGCAUGUUGGGGUGUGGAAAGUUUUUUCGGCGGUGGAUGUGCUCGCGGCCUAUCAGCUUGUUGGUGGGGUAAUGGCCUACCAAGGCUUUGACGGGUAGCCGGCCUGAGAGGGUGACCGGCCACGACUGGGACUGAGACACGGCCCAGACUCCUACGGGAGGCAGCGAGUGGGGAAUAUUGGACAAUGGGCGGAAGCCUGAUCCAGCAACGCCGCGUGGAGGAUGACGGCCGUUCGGGUUGUAAACCUCUUUCAGCACAGACGAGUUUGCUUUUGGUGAGUGAGUAUGUGCAGAGAGACGCAACUACGUGCCAGCGAGCCGAC
This 480-nucleotide ribosomal RNA is filed under the name uncultured soil bacterium. RNAcentral describes it as "bacterial SSU rRNA". It matches the Rfam family "Bacterial small subunit ribosomal RNA", at positions 26 to 518 of the family's 1533-position model. The record is from RNAcentral.